RNAcentral lists this transfer RNA (72 nucleotides) under Erinaceus europaeus (western European hedgehog). It matches the Rfam family "tRNA". From Rfam's summary of the family: Transfer RNA (tRNA) molecules are approximately 80 nucleotides in length. Their secondary structure includes four short double-helical elements and three loops (D, anti-codon, and T loops). Further hydrogen bonds mediate the characteristic L-shaped molecular structure. tRNAs have two regions of fundamental functional importance: the anti-codon, which is responsible for specific mRNA codon recognition, and the 3' end, to which the tRNAs corresponding amino acid is attached (by aminoacyl-tRNA synthetases). tRNAs cope with the degeneracy of the genetic code in two manners: having more than one tRNA (with a specific anti-codon) for a particular amino acid; and 'wobble' base-pairing, i.e. permitting non-standard base-pairing at the 3rd anti-codon position. Lineage: Eukaryota; Metazoa; Chordata; Mammalia; Eulipotyphla; Erinaceidae. The record is from Rfam by way of RNAcentral.
AGGAAUGUAGCUCAGUGGUAAAGCACAUACUUUGCACAUGUGAGACCCUGGGUUCAAGCCCUGGCACACCCA